UGCAAUUUAAAAAAAGAGUUAAUUUCAUAGAGUUACUUAUAAAUAUAAAAUAUAGUAAAUUUUAAAUAUAUUCUAUAAAAUUUAAUUUUUAUAUAUUAUUAAUAUAAAAAUUUUAAUAUUUUUAAAUAUAUCUUUCUGAUUUGUUAUCGUUAAAUUAUUAUUUAUUUUACAAGUGAAAUAAUAUCUUUGCAAUCACAAAUAUGCCCCUCUAAAAAUUCCAACGAUUAAUUAAAGAUGGGUAAAAAUAUUAAUUCACCUCAUUAACUAACUAGGGUUUAAUAUUUCACCAAUGAUUAACUAAUUUUUUGUAAUAGAUCAUAACGGCAGGAACAUAUUUGAAAAUAAUAGGAUUUUGCGAGAAUAAUAUAUGAAAGUAAAUUUUAUUAGAAUAUAUUUGUAAUAUUUAUUUUUAUUUAAUCUUAUUUAACUUUAAGAAAUUUUAUUUGAAUAUUUUUGUAAUUUAUUAUGUUUAUAUGGAUCGGGAUGAAAUUAAUCUUUUUAAAAAAAACCGUAAUGCCUUUCUAU
RNAcentral lists this long non-coding RNA (525 nucleotides) under Ananas comosus (pineapple). RNAcentral describes it as "long non-coding RNA (ACOM_LNC007805)". Lineage: Eukaryota; Viridiplantae; Streptophyta; Magnoliopsida; Poales; Bromeliaceae. The record is from RNAcentral.